GUCGAGCGCGGGAAGCAAACGGAAUCCUUCGGGAGGAAGUUUGUGGAACGAGCGGCGGACGGGUGAGUAACACGUGGGCAACCUACCUGUAAGAUUGGGAUAACUCCGGGAAACCGGGGCUAAUACCGAAUGACACUUUUCAACUCCUGUUGAGAAGUUAAAAGGCGGCUUUAAGCUGUCACUUACAGAUGGGCCCGCGGCGCAUUAGCUAGUUGGUAGGGUAACGGCCUACCAAGGCGACGAUGCGUAGCCGACCUGAGAGGGUGAUCGGCCACACUGGGACUGAGACACGGCCCAGACUCCUACGGGAGGCAGCAGUAGGGAAUCUUCCGCAAUGGACGAAAGUCUGACGGAGCAACGCCGCGUGAGUGAUGAAGGUUUUCGGAUCGUAAAACUCUGUUGUUAGGGAAGAACAAGUACCGUUCAAAUAGGGCGGUACCUUGACGGUACCUAACCAGAAAGCCCCGGCUAACUACGUGCCAGCAGCCGCGGUAAUACGUAGGGGGCAAGCGUUGUCCGGAAUUAUUGGGCGUAAAGCGCGCGCAGGCGGUCCUUUAAGUCUGAUGUGAAAGCCCACGGCUCAACCGUGGAGGGUCAUUGGAAACUGGAGGACUUGAGUACAGAAGAGAAGAGUGGAAUUCCACGUGUAGCGGUGAAAUGCGUAGAGAUGUGGAGGAACACCAGUGGCGAAGGCGACUCUUUGGUCUGUAACUGACGC
RNAcentral lists this ribosomal RNA (718 nucleotides) under Virgibacillus zhanjiangensis. RNAcentral's name for it is "bacterial SSU rRNA". It matches the Rfam family "Bacterial small subunit ribosomal RNA", at positions 61 to 746 of the family's 1533-position model. Lineage: Bacteria; Bacillati; Bacillota; Bacilli; Caryophanales; Bacillaceae. The record is from RNAcentral.